This 246-nucleotide ribosomal RNA is filed under the name uncultured bacterium. Its description in RNAcentral is "partial 16S ribosomal RNA". It matches the Rfam family "Bacterial small subunit ribosomal RNA", at positions 796 to 1041 of the family's 1533-position model. The record is from RNAcentral.
CACGCCGUAAACGAUGAGUACUAGGUGUAGGGGGUAUCGACCCCCCCUGUGCCGCAGUAAACACAAUAAGUACUCCGCCUGGGAAGUACGAUCGCAAGAUUAAAACUCAAAGGAAUUGACGGGGACCCGCACAAGCAGCGGAGCAUGUGGUUUAAUUCGAAGCAACGCGAAGAACCUUACCUGGACUUGACAUACCCUGAAUAUCUUAGAGAUAAGAGAAGCCCUUCGGGGCAGGGAUACAGGUGG